Molecule: ribosomal RNA, 468 nt
Filed under: uncultured bacterium
Lineage: Bacteria
Description: partial 16S ribosomal RNA
Rfam family: Bacterial small subunit ribosomal RNA
Source: RNAcentral
GACGAACGCUGGCGGCGUGCUUAACACAUGCAAGUCGAACGGAAAGGCCCUGCUUUUGUGGGGUGCUCGAGUGGCGAACGGGUGAGUAACACGUGAGUAACCUGCCCUUGACUUUGGGAUAACUUCAGGAAACUGGGGCUAAUACCGGAUAGGAGCUCCUGCUGCAUGGCGGGGGUUGGAAAGUUUCGGCGGUUGGGGAUGGACUCGCGGCUUAUCAGCUUGUUGGUGGGGUAGUGGCUUACCAAGGCUUUGACGGGUAGCCGGCCUGAGAGGGUGACCAGCCACAUUGGGACUGAGAUACGGCCCAGACUCCUACGGGAGGCAGCAGUGGGGAAUAUUGCACAAUGGGCGGAAGCCUGAUGCAGCAACGCCGCGUGCGGGAUGACGGCCUUCGGGUUGUAAACCGCUUUCGCCUGUGACGAAGCGUGAGUGACGGUAAUGGGUAAAGAAGCACCGGCUAACUACGUG